GAUGAACGCUGGCGGCGUGCUUAACACAUGCAAGUCGAACGGAAAGGCCCAAGCUUGCUUGGGUACUCGAGUGGCGAACGGGUGAGUAACACGUGGGUGAUCUGCCCUGCACUUCGGGAUAAGCCUGGGAAACUGGGUCUAAUACCGGAUAGGACCACAUUUUGGAUGGUGUGGUGGAAAGUUUUUCGGUGUGGGAUGAGCUCGCGGCCUAUCAGCUUGUUGGUGGGGUAAUGGUCUACCAAGGCGUCGACGGGUAGCCGGCCUGAGAGGGUGUACGGCCACAUUGGGACUGAGAUACGGCCCAGACUCCUACGGGAGGCAGCAGUGGGGAAUAUUGCACAAUGGGCGCAAGCCUGAUGCAGCGACGCCGCGUGGGGGAUGACGGCCUUCGGGUUGUAAACUCCUUUCGCUAGGGACGAAGCGCAAGUGACGGUACCUGGAGAAGAAGCACCGGCUAACUACGUG
Molecule: ribosomal RNA, 465 nt
Filed under: uncultured bacterium
Lineage: Bacteria
Description: partial 16S ribosomal RNA
Rfam family: Bacterial small subunit ribosomal RNA
Source: RNAcentral